Non-coding RNA from Nicotiana sylvestris (wood tobacco), 73 nucleotides. NCBI's taxonomy places the organism in Eukaryota, Viridiplantae, Streptophyta, Magnoliopsida, Solanales, Solanaceae. The record is from Rfam.
GCCGGGAUAGCUCCGUUGGUAGAGAAGAGGACUGAAAAUCCUCGUGUCACCAGUUCAAAUAAGAUUCCUGGCA